RNAcentral lists this transfer RNA (64 nucleotides) under Epeorus bispinosus. Its description in RNAcentral is "tRNA-Met". Lineage: Eukaryota; Metazoa; Arthropoda; Insecta; Ephemeroptera; Heptageniidae. The record is from RNAcentral.
AGAAAGAUAAGCUAAGUCUAAGCUCAUAGGUUCAUACCCUAUUUAUGGUCCCGGCCUCUUUCUA